RNAcentral lists this ribosomal RNA (484 nucleotides) under uncultured bacterium. RNAcentral's name for it is "partial 16S ribosomal RNA". It matches the Rfam family "Bacterial small subunit ribosomal RNA", at positions 30 to 507 of the family's 1533-position model. The record is from RNAcentral.
AUUGAACGCUGGCGGCAGGCCUAACACGUGCAAGUCGAGCGGAUGAAGGGAGCUUGCUCCUGGAUUCAGCGGCGGACGGGUGAGUAAUGCCUAGGAAUCUGCCUGGUAGUGGGGGAUAACGUCCGGAAACGGGCGCUAAUACCGCAUACGUCCUGAGGGAGAAAGUGGGGGAUCUUCGGACCUCACGCUAUCAGAUGAGCCUAGCUCGGAUUAGCUAGUUGGUGGGGUAAAGGCCUACCAAGGCGACGAUCCGUAACUGGUCUGAGAGGAUGAUCAGUCACACUGGAACUGAGACACGGUCCAGACUCCUACGGGAGGCAGCAGUGGGGAAUAUUGGACAAUGGGCGAAAGCCUGAUCCAGCCAUGCCGCGUGUGUGAAGAAGGUCUUCGGAUUGUAAAGCACUUUAAGUUGGGAGGAAGGGCAGUAAGUUAAUACCUUGCUGUUUUGACGUUACCAACAGAAUAAGCACCGGCUAACUUCGUG